AGCUAGCCCCGAUAGAGCCGAUAUCCUCGUAGUCCCGAUCCCGAAGCUUCGGGACGGGACGAAGAGAUAAAGGCGAGAGCGGGAAUUUUG
RNAcentral lists this unclassified non-coding RNA (90 nucleotides) under Flavobacterium xinjiangense. Its description in RNAcentral is "Flavo-1 RNA". The record is from RNAcentral. Lineage: Bacteria; Pseudomonadati; Bacteroidota; Flavobacteriia; Flavobacteriales; Flavobacteriaceae.